GGAUUAGAUACCCUGGUAGUCCACGCUGUAAACGAUGAUAACUCGCUGUUGGCGAUAUACUGUCAGCGGCCAAGCGAAAGCGUUAAGUUAUCCACCUGGGGAGUACGAUCGCAAGGUUGAAACUCAAAGGAAUUGACGGGGGCCCGCACAAGCGGUGGAGCAUGUGGUUUAAUUCGAUGAUACGCGAGGAACCUUACCUGGGCUUAAAUGCAGAACGACCGGCUGGGAAACCAGCCUUUCUUCGGACGGUCUGCAAGGUGCUGCAUGGCUGUCGUCAGCUCGUGUCG
This 287-nucleotide ribosomal RNA is filed under the name uncultured bacterium. Its description in RNAcentral is "partial 16S ribosomal RNA". It matches the Rfam family "Bacterial small subunit ribosomal RNA", at positions 775 to 1067 of the family's 1533-position model. The record is from RNAcentral.